Molecule: non-coding RNA, 289 nt
Organism: Camelina sativa (false flax)
Lineage: Eukaryota; Viridiplantae; Streptophyta; Magnoliopsida; Brassicales; Brassicaceae
Source: RefSeq, a predicted model, not a curated record
GCCAAGCCCCGUGCCUCUUCGCUUCUUCCUUCUGCUUCUCAGGUACCAAUUCAGGUAAAAGAAGCAGCAGAUACGGCCCUAGAUUUGGGAGAACAAGAAAACGAACCUAGACAAAGGAGUAAAGCAAGGAAAAUAUUCAUGGACGACCAAAGGAUAUAUCCUAGGGCUCACAACCUAAAGUGCCACUCUUCCUUAUGAUAAUCAAGCAUCAAGAACAAGUACCAUAUUAAGCCCAAGGGCUACCAUCCCUUGAAUUGCCCCAUAAUGUUGUGGCAGUGCCUUGGUUGGG